UCGGGAAUUUUGGGCAAUGGGGGAAACCCUGACCCAGCAACGCCGCGUGAAGGAUGAAGUAUUUCGGUAUGUAAACUUCGAAAGAAUAGGAAGAAUAAAUGACGGUACUAUUUAUAAGGUCCGGCUAACUACGUGCCAGCAGCCGCGGUAAUACGUAGGGACCAAGCGUUGUUCGGAUUUACUGGGCGUAAAGGGCGCGUAGGCGGCAUGACAAGUCACUUGUGAAAUCUCUGGGCUUAACCCAGAACGGCCAAGUGAUACUGUCGCGCUAGAGUGCAGAAGGGGCAAUCGGAAUUCUUGGUGUAGCGGUGAAAUGCGUAGAUAUCAAGAGGAACACCUGAGGUGAAGACGGGUUGCUGGGCUGACACUGACACUGAGGCACGAAAGCGUGGGGAGCAAACAGGAUUAGAUACCCAUGUAGUCCCUGAGCGGGCUGGCAAGGCGCAU
RNAcentral lists this ribosomal RNA (447 nucleotides) under uncultured bacterium. Its description in RNAcentral is "bacterial SSU rRNA". It matches the Rfam family "Bacterial small subunit ribosomal RNA", at positions 355 to 825 of the family's 1533-position model. The record is from RNAcentral.